This 71-nucleotide transfer RNA is filed under the name Loxodonta africana (African savanna elephant). It matches the Rfam family "tRNA". Rfam says of the family: Transfer RNA (tRNA) molecules are approximately 80 nucleotides in length. Their secondary structure includes four short double-helical elements and three loops (D, anti-codon, and T loops). Lineage: Eukaryota; Metazoa; Chordata; Mammalia; Proboscidea; Elephantidae. The record is from Rfam by way of RNAcentral.
GUAAUGGUGGUCCAGUGGUGGAAUUCUCGCCUUCUGUGCGGGAGACCUGGAUUUGAUUUCCAGCCAGUGCA